RNAcentral lists this unclassified non-coding RNA (7721 nucleotides) under Leishmania donovani. Its description in RNAcentral is "gene:LdHU3.21.1190(CDS-product:Protein_kinase_dom ain/Protein_tyrosine_kinase/Kinase-like_putative)". Lineage: Eukaryota; Euglenozoa; Kinetoplastea; Trypanosomatida; Trypanosomatidae. The record is from RNAcentral.
CGCACCGCAGACCCCCAAAGAAAGGGCCCACAAGACGGAAGCGUGAACGCAGUAGCCUUUGCGCAAGUACGCGCUCCUUUCUGCCCUCACCGCCACCCCCCACUUCAACUCCAUCCGGGAGUGCAUCUGGGGUCUCGACGACGACGGAGGAGGAGGAGGAGGAGGGGGCAGGGUGACCUCACCACCUCUCUUCCCGUCUUUCCCCAGCGCAAACAGCGCACGCAAACACAUAACAGAAACGUGCGCGCAGUCGCGCCCUCUUCCCGUCUUUUCUUUUUUUCAUUUUCUUUCAUCAUUGUUGUCGUCUAGACGUGGGACGUCCUCUCAUUGUCUCCUCUGCCUUCGUGUGCCUCGGGUGGUCGUGCCGCCUUCAGCGCUCGCGCCUCAUUUUUUUUUUGAUGCAUUGUGCCUUCUUUCCGCUCAACCGGGGGGCGUGGCGUGUGUGGGUCGUUGGCGACGUUACGCGUUGCUGACUGCUUCUUUUCCUCCCUUGCGUUCUGCGUCUUCGUCACAAUCUACUGCAGCCUGCAUGAUGAACGACCUGCCUCGCUGGCCGCGGUACCGGCCGAUCCGCGUGAUCGGCCAGGGCGGCUUCGGCACGGUGUACCUCUGCGUGGACACGGAGCCUACCAGCACCAUGUAUGAGCAGGAGGUGGCUGUCAAGGCCGUCUCGCUCGGCGCCCUUUCCGAUGAGGAGGUGCUCAUGGUCAUGUCAGAGGUGUCGCUGCUAAAGAAUGUUGGCCACCCGAACAUCAUCACCUACUACGACUCGUUCCUGUACGAUGAUGACGAGUCGGCGCUGUCACGGAAGGGAGGCGCCACGCUUGUUCCACAGGCUGAUGGCGACGACAUCGCUACAGCUGGGGCAGGCUUUCGAUCGCAGUGGCUCUGUCUUGUGACGGAGUACAUGGACGGCGGCGACCUUGCCGCCCUGCUGCGGCAGUACAGCGGUCAAGAACUGAACAGCACCAAAGAUGUAUGCGAGGCCACCAGUUUGAGUACAGUGGGCACGGCCGCCGCAGCGCGCAAGCGGGGCCGGCCUUCAGCUGCUGUAACAGAAGACGCCGCUGCAGGGGCCGAUCAAGGGGAGGUGAGUGAGGGAGACUGGGUAAGCCGCAGUCGACUACACCGCCAGCGCCUCGCAACAACUCUCCGCGCUGCACCGCGCCCACCAAUGUCGACGUUUCCCACGACAGUGACGAAGGCGACCGUGAUGCGGUGGGAUGGCCUCGACGCCUCCGUCGACCAGACGUGGAUGUCUGACGCCUCCGCGGCGGCGAUGCCGACCACCCCGCUCGGAGCCACCGACGCCGAGGCCGCAGAUGGGGCGGCUUGCGGCAGUCGCAAUGGCAUCCAAAUGCCCACUGCGGCUGCCAGCAAUGCCGCCGUUGGCUCUGCUGCCACGGGCGCGCCGCACCUCACCAACGUAAGCUUCAAGAACACGGUUGCCGCUGCCGGCCUCGCCUCCGAGCCGCUCGAGCCCCAGCUCCCGCCUCCGCCGAAUAAACUCUGGGUCGAGUCCUUUCUAAUCACGGAUAUCGCGAAACAGUGCCUCGACGCCUUGGCGUACCUGCAUGCCUUGUGCAUCGUUCACCGCGACAUCAAGCCGUCCAAUAUUUACCUCUCGAAGCGCGACGGCACCGUAAAGAUUGGCGACUUCGGCGUGUCGAAGCUGCUCCAGCCCGCAGAGCCCUUCACGAUGACGUUUGUGGGCACCCCGUUUUACCUCUGCCCUGAACUCUGCAUGGGCGACCCCUACUCCUUCGGUGCCGAUAUCUGGGCUUUGGGUGUGGUCCUGUACGAGCUCUACUGCCUGAAACUUCCCUUCACCUCCGACAACGUUCUGGCGCAGAUCUACGUCAUCACGGAAGGCGUAUAUGACACUGCCGCGCUGGGCACGCCACACGCCUUCGCAGAGUCCCAGCAGGCCGUGCUGGAGACGCUCUACGGACCCUCCUUUCUCCAUUCUGAGCGCCUGCUGCACUCCCUUGUGGUGAGCAUGGUUGAUAAAAUGCUUCAGGUUGAUCCGGCAGAGCGGCCCUCAGCCGAGGAGUUGCUAACGGGUGUGUUCGGCGCCGGCAGCACGUCACGGUGCGGCUCGAGCGCAGGUCUUCCGCUUGCCCCGGUGGCGCCGACGCCGGUGCACCGCCCCCUGUCCACCUGUGCGCUAGCCCAUGACUCCGUCUCCACUCCUCCGCAGCGUGGUCCAUCAUCAUUCGCUGUCAAGCCUGAGGGAGUAGCGGCGACCACGCCGCAAGCGCCGUCCAAUCGUUUAGGCCCUUCAGCAAGUGAGCAGCACGCACGGUGGGCCGGCAGCCUCGUCGCCGCUGCAUCCAGUACGCUUCAGCAGGAGCAAGGGGCAUCUCGUGUUUCCCUCACAGCUCCCGGGAGUCGCCGCAGCCGCGAGAGGAGAGACGACGUGGUCGAUGACUUCACCGGCGCGCACGCCCCUCUCGCCGUCCGCGUGAAGACGUCUGUGGGGGACAUACUGCAGGGCAUGCCGUCCGCGCAGCGUGAGCGUCUCGGCAACCGUGCAGCGGCAGAGGAGAGGGAUGAAAAGGAGGAGGUCUCGCGGGCCAUGCUGCCUGUGGCAUCGCCAAAGCCGACGCCCUCUUCGGCGCUCUUUCAUUCUACCGUGAAGGCCGGCGUGGGAAGCGACAGCGCCAACCGACAAGCCGCGCUCUCGCCGAGCCUUGCAGGACGAGAACGGGCAGAGGUGGCCGCGCUGCCCGAGAAGCGCAGAGGCAGUACCGUGGGUGCUGAGCCGCCGUCGCUCGAGCUUGCUGAGCACACGGCUCUGCAGCUUCUCCCUGCGGCGCCGUUCCCGCUGGAGCUGCUCUACGGCGGCCUCGUCAACAUCGGUGACUCUGCCGUGAACAGCACAGGCGCGACUGGAGAGCAGCGUACCGUCGACGACAAGGCAUCGGUGAGUACCCCGCUAGGGGCGCAGGCCACGCAGCAAGCAUCACCACUAUCAUCUAUGUUGCCAGCUGACAGGCCACCUGCUGUGCGCACCCACUGCGACGAUGACGAUGCGCUGGACCACCCCAUCGGUGCGCAGACGCGCAGCGAGUUCAUGGCGCUGAUGGAGAACAUUCCGUGGCUCAAGAACGCCGAAGUCUUCUCCUCCAUUCCGCUCUCCGCCGGCUGUGACAACGUCAUGCUGGUUGAGCGAGCGAAUCGCAGCUCCGUGUCUGCAAGCGGCGCCGACGGUGCUCUGAGCUCUGCCACCGACAACACAGCAGCAGGCGGCUCCGAGGAGAGGGCAGAGGGUGCUGCGCCGGCGUCGAAGGGUUCGCGCACUGCGCCGCACCAGCGGCAGUCGCAGCUGCCGUCGCCGUUGCGGUCACCGCACAGCCCGGCAACUGGAACGGAAGACAUGCAGAUGUCCUCGAAUCCCCUGCUGCCCGUAUGCCGCGCCGGGGUCGUAUCUCCCACGGCCCCCCGCAUCGAGGUGAAAACGAUCAGCGGGACGACCAUCACUAUGGGAGGCAUCCGCCGCCCUCCUAGCUCGCGGUCUCCGUUUCAGCGAGGCUCCGCCGGAGCAGCGGAGAUGGCCGACGCAGAGAGCACACAGUCAGUGUCGCAGCGCCGCGUCUCAGGCGGGCUCACUGCUGCGAGUCGACAGCCGCCGUGCAUCCCAGCUGCCCCGCUCCGCCAACGUGUGUCGGUGACUGCCUUGCCCACGACGGUACUGACGAGCACGCCAAAGCCGCCAGCCUCGCGGCCGGACGAGCCGCAGAUGACACAGGAUGCCAGUGGUCCUGCGUGUCCGUCGCCGUCGCUGCAACCGAGGGGGGACGCGGACAGGCAGCCGACAGCGGUCACGGUGGCAAGCAAGGGUGCUUCUGCCUCGCACCCGCGGCUGUUCUCAUCCUCCGGUCUUGAGCCCACAGUGGGCAAUGCCGCCAGUGAGGCGCGGCUGCGCCCCUUUAGCGCUGCCCAAAUGCGUGCUACAGCGAUAGCAUCGGCGAGCGGGGCCGCUCCACCCACCCCCAAGGCGCACUCUCCCGGUCACUGCGAGGGCUAUUCCACCACUGAGCUGGAGGCCCUCCUGCAGGCGAAGCUGCUAACACACUAUCAGCGGCGGCAGCGGCAGCUGGGCGCGCAGCGGACGCAGCAUGCAGCACAGGAGGCGGCGAAGGCCGCAGCCCGCGCAAAGCUGAAGGCGCUGUAUGAUGAGGUCUUCGUUUCUCGACUCGACCCGGCGUCGUCGGACGCGGCCUACACCGCUCCGUACCACUCCGGCGGCACCAUAGGCGGUCCUUCAGAGGUGCCGGAUGAGUUUGUCGCCCGCACCGACAAGCGCUCGAGGGCUGCGAGUGACUCAGGCGACAGCGGAGCUCACUUCCCGGGCGAUGACGCCGUGGCAGCACCAGUCGCACGCGCAGCGACGCAGCUACCCGCGCUGGAGGCGGACGCUUGGGCAAAGGGCGCCCCUGUGGCGGUGCACUUAACGAAGGAAGCGGCGUCCCCGUCGCCUCCGUCGGCCCCGUCCUCUCAUGGCUCGCCGCUGCCUUUUUCCGUCGACGCGACGGCGCGACAGGCCGAGACGGAGGAGUCGGUGCUGCGAGCUCUCUCCGCUGUCUACUCUCGUCCUGUUGAAAUACCAGCGACGACUGUGCCCGGUACUGGGACGCUCAUGGACGAUGGCGAUUACGGCAAGGACUGGCUAGCAGCGACCCCCGCGGUGCGUCGUAUCCGCGAGGCCGCGUCGCUGGCGGUCGCCGUGGAGCAUCAGUGCGCUGCCUUUCGCCGUGGCAAGGAACCUGCAAGGUUGUGCGUCGCUCCGCCGUGGCGGCCACCGCACGACUCACGUGACGUGCCGGGUCUCUGGGAGACGUCCUCAGCGGAGGAGGAGGCAGAUGUGUCGGCACGUGGCCGGCUGGGGUGCCCCGCGCCAGCAAGUGUGCGGGAAGAAGUACGGUGGCGUUGGAGUGCUCCGCCUUCUGACCUGGAUGACACGGCAGGGACGACGUCCGAGGACGAAGAGAGGGGGGCGUUGCUGUCGAGCACCGCUUCCUCAUCAGCUGUGCCUUCGAUAUCCACGUCGCCGUCGUCGUCGUCAUCGGCGUUGUUGGCGUCGACGUCGGGAGCCAAUAUGCUUGAUGCACCUGGGCAAACUUCAAAGACGCCCUCCAUUACCGCGGCACCAGAAGCGGAUGUGCAGCAGCGCUUACAAAGUCGGAAACUCGUGCGUAGCGGGGGCGAGCUGGGCGGUGGUGUGAUUGGCUCGCGGCGUAGCCCUGCCGAUGCCCAUGCUGGGGGGCCGCGUCCAUCUUCGCUGCUGGGAUCGCCCAUGUAUCUGGAGCUCGACAGCGUUGACGGUGGCAUCAGAGGUGGACACACACGGGACGACGGCAUCCACGGGGUGUCUUUGAGUAUGUCGAGUCUGGCGGACGCGUCGGCGAAGGCGACAGCGGCGGCGGGUCACGAAAAAGACGAGACGGACUCGGCCUCUGCAAGCUCAUCCUCGACUACAUCGACUAUAUCCUCCACGUCAUCGGCAUCGCACUCCUCUGCCAGUCACAGCUCCCGUGCUUUGAGUCACCCGCACCGCAGCAAGGACGAGGCGCGGCAUGACGUGAGCAGCAGCUCACACGAUGAUGGCAGCAGCGCCCAAAACAGCAGCAGCGGCAGCAGCUCAGACGAUGCGCCAUCCUCGGCAUCGCAGACGGCAUCUUUUUCAUUUCACAGCUUUGGUGGCGCCGCAUCCUCGACGGACGCUAACGACGACGAUGCGGAACCCUGCGCGGCAACGAAGAGGGCGGACAGCGACGGCGACGAGGACAUGUCGUACACGUAUACGGUGCAGCUGGACGCGGUGACGGGGCGGCGCCACUUCGAAUACGUGUGCCCCGUGACAGUGGAGGUGGUGGGCGCUUUGCCAGGCGGUUGCCGCGUCGUGUCGGCAGUAGCGGCCUUGCGCGCUCUGGACUUCGCCAAGGCGGCGCCCUUGUCCGCGAUGCAGGUGCCCCCUAGCGAGCACUGCAGCAUGAAACAAGGCAGUGAUGGGCUGGCGACGCGGGUGCUAACGGCGGAGGCGCCGACGGAUUUGUCCGCGACGCCGAGCCCGCACGAGGGCGGCGACGAUACGGCAGCCGCCAAUGGCGGCAUCAGCAGCUGCCCCGGCCAAGACAAGACAUUCCUGUUUGACGGAGAGUACCACACCAUGUGGCAGGAGGACGGUGGCUUCGGCGCUGCCGCUGCCUCGCUACCAACGCCGUCUGCCCCUGCUCCAUCCUCGUCGCUGUCGUCGUUGCCGCCGGACGCCGGAGCGACGGUGGGCUUCACGGCUGUACCAGGAAAGCAGCAGGGACAUGUACCGGCAGCGAACGGCAUGGCACCACCCGAAGGGUCCCAAUCGGCACGAGAGGCUACUCUUCACUCGGCACUCCCUUCGACCACCAACUGGCAGCCCGAUGCGACCGCGCGAGUCGCAGCUGCAUCGUCGAGCUGCGUCGAGGACGGCAACAACGAUGGCAACGGUGCCACUGCACACCUUCGCGGGCGCGCGGCCUCACUGCACUUGAGCGGAGAAACACGCGCGAGGGUGGCGGCGCCUCUUCGCCCUUCGCACGUGGCGCUAGCGGCGCUUUCCGAGGAAACUAUGGCGAAGGCACACGCGCCGCUGACUCACCCCUCCUUAGCGGAUUCCGACCCCACUAAAGUGAACACAGAGAUGCUGCCCGCCUCCAAGAGCGCCUCGAGCAACGCUGAUGGAAACCAAGCGAUGGGUUUCCUGUGCGACCGAGCUUGCACACAGGGCCAGACAGCGGUGACCCCCGCGCAGGAGAUCGCCGCGGUUAUGGAGACGACGUGGUGGGUGCGGGUACCUUCAAGUCCCUCAGCUUCAUCUCAGGGGCUGGGGACGUCGCAACAGCAGCACCAACUCACGGGAUCGCCCCAGUACAUCCAUCUUCCUCUGUCGCUCGCUCUCCGGCCGCUGCGGCAACGCACCCGUUUCGUCGGACUUCUGUGGCGUCUGUGGGUGUCUCUGAAGGUCAGUGAGCCGGCGCUGAGUCGGGUGCUUCUUCAUCGUCGCGGCGGCGCGCCGUCACCUUCUCCGGGUUGCACGUUUGCCGAGGCUUUCGGAGACUGGGUUACAGGCACCACACCUGCUCGCGAUACGGACACGGGUGAAUGUACUGAGGUGGAUGUCUCACAGCAGUCCUCGAGCGAGACGAGCACUAGCCUCCGCCUCGGCCGCACCAUCACAACCACCGCGACGACGGAGGCUUCCAGCAACAGCGACACGGCGGCUGAUUCGCAGGUGUUGCCGGCGUCAGGUUCUCUUACGGCGCCUUCGCGUCCCUCGCCGCUCAAGUGGGGGCUGUACUACGUGGAGGCGCGCACCUGGUGCGCUGUGCAACUGCGCACCGACGCGGACUGGGCUGUAGUGCGGCGCAAGAUAUCCGAGAUGGGUACAAUGCUGCCGUUUGUGCGCCUGUACCUGCUGCUCGAGGAGGCGGAGCCAACCUCAGAGUAGGCGGCGCCGUUGAGAUAAGGCGGGGGGGACCAUCGCCGAUGCCCCUCCACACUUCCUCAUUUUCCGGAUCUACACAUGCUGCCUGUUCAUAUGUUUGCGUGUCUUCGCCAAUGUGUUUUUACUCACCACAGCCCUUCCGGUUGUGAUGCAGAAGGGUAGGCCAGCAGGGAUGCAGGCCUCUCCCUCUGUCUCUGUUUUUCUGUGGGCGCAGAUGGCCGCACGCCGCGAUCAC